RNAcentral lists this microRNA precursor (92 nucleotides) under Marmota monax (woodchuck). The record is from RNAcentral. Lineage: Eukaryota; Metazoa; Chordata; Mammalia; Rodentia; Sciuridae.
AGUGGGAUUGCUGGGUCAAAUGGUGAUUCUAUUCCAAGUUUUUAAGGAAUCUCCAUACUGCUUUCCAGAGUGGUUGCAGUCCCACCAGCAAU